CAAAUUCCCCAUUGAAUGGUUUAGUGAGGCCUUCUGACUGGCGCCGCUACUCUGGCAACAGAGCGGCGGAUGCCGGGAAGUUGGUCAAACUUGAUCAUUUAGAGGAAGUAAAAGUCGUAACAAGGUUUCCGUAGGUGAACCUGCGGAAGGAUCAUUACCGAUGUGAAAAAUCCAAGGUUAAACAUCAUUAACCAGUGUGAACUGUGAAACAACUCUUUAGGGGUCGGCACAGGCGUGUGUCGUUAAAUGGCGGAUAGGUUCCUUCCGCCAGCCCCGCCAUUGUGUUUAUGAUAUCACUUUGAACGUUAAAGACUGAGAACGUAUGUAUCAUGCAUUAAAUGUAUGAGAAAGAAGGAAAGAAAAAUGAGAGACAACUUUUGACGGUGGAUCUCUUGGCUCACGUAUCGAUGAAGAACGCAGCCAGCUGCGAUAUGUAGUGUGAAUUGCAGAAUUCAGUGAAUCAUUGAAUCUUUGAACGCAAAUGGCGCUCUUGGGUUCUCCCAGGAGCAUGUCUGUCUGAGUGUCGGAUUUUAUCGAACGCACUCGUGAGUGCGGUAUUGAGGUGUCACGGCGUGUUAGCAAGCAAGCUUUAAAUCGCCGUGUCCCUUGAAGGACAGCAGCAUUGGACUCGCAUUCUCUAUUGAAACUUGAGUGCGAAGGCUAAAGAUAAUAUUUUCCUUCGCCCAAACAUGCAAUAGCAGAAACAAAGUCCAAUCAAAGCGGUGACAGACAAUAAACAUCAAAUCUUGACCUCAGAUCAGGCAAGGCUACCCGCUGAAUUUAAGCAUAUUAAUAAGCGGAGGAAAAAGAAACUAACAAGGAUUCCCUCAGUAACGGCGAGUGAAGCGGGAAUAGCUCAAAUUUGAAAUCUCCGACGCUUGCGUCGGCGAAUUGUAGUUGCGAGAAGCACUUUCUAGGCGGAUCGGGUCGUGCCUAAGUUUGCUUGCAACAGUACGUCAUAGAGGGUGACAACCCCGGUCUGUGGCUCGGCCGGUCGCUCACGAUGUGCUUUCGAAGAAGUCUGCUUGCUUGGGACUGCCGACCCAAAGCCAGCCUGACUCAUCGCAAGCACAUCGGUGAGGCGGCCGGCCGAGCCACAGAACGUGGGUUGUCACCCCCCCUAUACGUACUGUUUGCCAAGUCUAACUAUGAACGAUCGAUUCCUGCCUAGGAAAGGUCCUCCUGCAACCUUACAGAUUGGCCCCGGAGGGCAGGGGGGAUAGGAGGAUAAUU
RNAcentral lists this ribosomal RNA (1233 nucleotides) under Porites lutea. RNAcentral describes it as "eukaryotic LSU rRNA". The stretch from base 373 to 526 matches the Rfam family "5.8S ribosomal RNA". The record is from RNAcentral. Lineage: Eukaryota; Metazoa; Cnidaria; Anthozoa; Scleractinia; Poritidae.